GUCUGCAGACACACCACCCUGAAUGUGCCCAAUCUUGGAAGUUAAGCAGGGUUGGGCCUGGUUGGUACUUGGAUGGAGGAAAUCUACUCACUUAGGAAUCUUUCUUUGCAGAAA
Molecule: ribosomal RNA, 114 nt
Organism: Fukomys damarensis (Damara mole-rat)
Lineage: Eukaryota; Metazoa; Chordata; Mammalia; Rodentia; Bathyergidae
Source: Ensembl